UCCCCGAUAGCUCAAUGGUAGAGCACCCGGCUGUUAACCGGGUUGUUGAAGGUUCGAGUCCUUCUCGGGGAG
This 72-nucleotide transfer RNA is filed under the name Phycisphaerales bacterium. RNAcentral's name for it is "tRNA-Asn". It matches the Rfam family "tRNA". From Rfam's summary of the family: Transfer RNA (tRNA) molecules are approximately 80 nucleotides in length. Their secondary structure includes four short double-helical elements and three loops (D, anti-codon, and T loops). Further hydrogen bonds mediate the characteristic L-shaped molecular structure. tRNAs have two regions of fundamental functional importance: the anti-codon, which is responsible for specific mRNA codon recognition, and the 3' end, to which the tRNAs corresponding amino acid is attached (by aminoacyl-tRNA synthetases). tRNAs cope with the degeneracy of the genetic code in two manners: having more than one tRNA (with a specific anti-codon) for a particular amino acid; and 'wobble' base-pairing, i.e. permitting non-standard base-pairing at the 3rd anti-codon position. The record is from RNAcentral. Lineage: Bacteria; Pseudomonadati; Planctomycetota; Phycisphaerae; Phycisphaerales.